AACCGGAUUAGAUACCCUGGUAGUCCACGCCCUAAACGAUGUCUACUAGUUGUCGGGUCUUAAUUGACUUGGUAACGCAGCUAACGCGUGAAGUAGACCGCCUGGGGAGUACGGUCGCAAGAUUAAAACUCAAAGGAAUUGACGGGGACCCGCACAAGCGGUGGAUGAUGUGGAUUAAUUCGAUGCAACGCGAAAAACCUUACCUACCCUUGACAUGUCUGGAAUCCCUGAGAGAUUGGGGAGUGCUCGAAAGAGAGCCGGAACACAGGUGCUGCAUGGCUGUCGUCAGCUCGUGUCGUGAGAUGUUGGGUUAAGUCCCGCAACGAGCGCAACCCUUGUCAUUAGUUGCUACGAAAGGGCACUCUAAUGAGACUGCCGGUGACAAACCGGAGGAAGGUGGGGAUGACGUCAAGUCCUCAUGGCCCUUAUGGGUAGGGCUUCACACGUCAUACAAUGGUACAUACAGAGGGCUGCCAACCCGCGAGGGGGAGCUAAUCCCAGAAAGUGUAUCGUAGUCCGGAUUGGAGUCUGCAACUCGACUCCAUGAAGUUGGAAUCGCUAGUAAUCGCGGAUCAGCAUGUCGCGGUGAAUACGUUCCCGGGUCUUGUACACACCGCCCGUCACACCAUGGGAGCGGGUUUUACCAGAAGUAGGUAGCUUAACCGCAAGGGGGGCGCUUACCACGGUAGGAUUCGUGACUGGGGUGAAGUCGUAACAAGGUACC
This 724-nucleotide ribosomal RNA is filed under the name uncultured bacterium. Its description in RNAcentral is "bacterial SSU rRNA". It matches the Rfam family "Bacterial small subunit ribosomal RNA", at positions 771 to 1500 of the family's 1533-position model. The record is from RNAcentral.